This 497-nucleotide ribosomal RNA is filed under the name uncultured bacterium. Its description in RNAcentral is "partial 16S ribosomal RNA". It matches the Rfam family "Bacterial small subunit ribosomal RNA", at positions 28 to 507 of the family's 1533-position model. The record is from RNAcentral.
GAUGAACGCUGGCGGCGUGCCUAAUACAUGCAAGUCGAGCGAACAGACGAGGAGCUUGCUCCUCUGACGUUAGCGGCGGACGGGUGAGUAACACGUGGAUAACCUACCUAUAAGACUGGGAUAACUUUGGGAAACCGGAGCUAAUACCGGAUAAUAUAUUGAACCGCAUGGUUCAAUAGUGAAAGACGGUUUUGCUGUCACUUAUAGAUGGAUCCGCGCCGCAUUAGCUAGUUGGUAAGGUAACGGCUUACCAAGGCGACGAUGCGUAGCCGACCUGAGAGGGUGAUCGGCCACACUGGAACUGAGACACGGUCCAGACUCCUACGGGAGGCAGCAGUAGGGAAUCUUCCGCAAUGGGCGAAAGCCUAACGGAGCAACGCCGCGUGAGUGAUGAAGGUCUUCGGAUCGUAAAACUCUGUUAUUAGGGAAGAACAAAUGUGUAAGUAACUAUGCACGUCUUGACGGUACCUAAUCAGAAAGCCACGGCUAACUACGUG